Molecule: ribosomal RNA, 117 nt
Filed under: Lepisosteus oculatus (spotted gar)
Lineage: Eukaryota; Metazoa; Chordata; Actinopteri; Semionotiformes; Lepisosteidae
Source: RNAcentral
AACAGCAGCCAUAUCACUCUGCAACUCAUAAUUGGCAGCCCACUGAAGUUAAGCAAUUGUGAGCCUGGUCAGAACCUGGAUGGGAGACCUCCUGGGAAAAACAGGUUGCUGCUGGGA